CUGGGAUGUAUUAACCACGUUGAAUGCACCAGUUUCCCACGGAUCACUGAAGUUAAGCAACGUUGCUCGUGGUUAGUACCUGGAUGGUGACCAUCGGGGGAAUCGCGUGCUGCUGGGU
Molecule: ribosomal RNA, 118 nt
Filed under: Diaphorina citri (Asian citrus psyllid)
Lineage: Eukaryota; Metazoa; Arthropoda; Insecta; Hemiptera; Psyllidae
Source: RNAcentral